AUCCAACUGAUGAGUCCCAAAUAGGACAAAACACGCGUCUCAGAU
This 45-nucleotide non-coding RNA is filed under the name Schistosoma mattheei. Lineage: Eukaryota; Metazoa; Platyhelminthes; Trematoda; Strigeidida; Schistosomatidae. The record is from RNAcentral.